UUUCCUUGAUGUCAUUAAGUCAACUGGGAGACGCCGCCUAAACUUCAUCAAACUCCACAUAGUAGUCCUCCUCCUGGGCUACCUGCUCUUCACCUAUGGAGGGGGGUUAUAUAUUGCAAGGGUGAGCUCACAAAAGUUCAUCGCUUUACAAGUGUGGGGAAUAAUAUGCAUGAGCUUGCCAAAAGUGGGGGUAAAAGUCACCUAGAGGGGGUGAAUAUACGAAACCUGAAAAUUAAAAACUUUGAACACGCACUAUGCCCGGGGUUAGCGUUAGAAAUAAUUCAGAGUGCGGAAGAUAGUUCUCCUUGCUAGGAGUUGCUCAAUCAAUGCGGAUAACUUUGGGAGCCAACUCAAAUCAAUAUGAGCAAGGGAACUUUUAGAGAGAGGAAAGAGGGGAAACAAAUCAAGUGAAGAUCAACACAAAUGAACAUGGUGAUUUCUUUACCGAGGUUUGGUUCCAAAGAACCUAGUCCCCGUUGAGGAGGCUACAAAGGCCGGGUCUAUUCCAACCCUUUCCCUCUCUCAAUCGGUCACACAGACUAGUCGAGUGCUUCUCUUUAAUCACUUGGGUCACUAAGACCCUGCAAGGAUCACCACACACUUAGGCUAGCUUUACAAAGCACUUAGAAGAAUUAGAAAGAGAAAGAGAAAGCAAUCCAAGCAACAAGAACAACAAAAGAAACACUAAACACCCUCUCUCAAGUCACUAAGUAAUUGAGUUGAUUUUGAGGCUUGGAGAGGAUUUGAUCUUUUGAUUGUGUCUUGGAGUGUAUGCUUUUGCUCUUGUAUUGAAUGUGGAGUUCAAAAAACUUGGAUGACUUGAAUGGAGGUGGUUGGGGGUAUUUAUAGCCUCCAACCACUUCCUAGCCGUUGGCUGACUUUGCUAUCGACGGGCACACCGGACAGUCCGGUGGUGCACCAGACAUGGCACUGUUCUGUCCGGUGCGUGUCACAUCAGCUGCCCAUUAGGGUUUGGAGCAGUUGAACUUUGAAGUCAUUUGUCCUCUUGCGGCAUCGAACAGUCUGGUGCAUUCUGGCUUUGCAGUUCUGACUCCUGACUUGUGCACUGUUCACUGUUCAUCUGACAUCGCAGUCGACCGUUGGGCGCAGUUGACCGUUGCUCCGUUGGCUCACCGUUCAUGUCUGGUGCACACCGGACAGUCCGGUGAAUUAUAGCGGAGUGACUCUAGGAAAAACUCGAGAGCGGCCAGUUCAUGGGUGCCUUGGCCUAGGCACCGGACAAUGUCCGGUGCGCCACUGGUAGCACCAAUGCUUGUCUUUACUCCAAACUUUGUUGAGUUCCCCAACUCCAUUUCUUUGUCAGUUUAUGUUGAACUUUGUGCACCUAAGAUAAAUGACAACUAGGCAAACUAGUUAGUCCACGUGGUUUGUGAUGGACGUCAAACACCAAAAUCGAUUAUAGGAAAUGAUUAAGCUAAUUUCCCUUUCAGGGGGCUCAUGUGAAGUGUAAGGCUGAUCAACAAAUAAUGGUUAAAGCUGAGCAUUGCUUUUAAUAAGUUGGUCAAAUUUUAUGAGCAAUUAUUAAAUGUAAGUAUAUACCAACCCAAAGUAAUAAUAGAUCAAAAUUAAUAAUAAAACCACAAUGCGAUGCACAUGACAAAAUUGAGUUUAAUUCCAUAAGUUAAUCAUGCGAGAGUCCUGAGCUACUCAUGACCGCGAGCACGGCUAGUAUACCAGUUUUACACUCUGCAGAGGUUGUACCCUUUACCCACAAGUCAUGCUACCCAUUUUCCAAGGGGUCUAGAAGUCUCAUUCAUCUCUAUCGAGAAGAUGAGGCAGGGUAACACUAUGAGGCCUUUACAAAGUUCCACUAGCUUCAUAAAACCCGCUACGGUUUUUUAGGAGAGCGAUAUAGGAAUCCCCCGUCUGAAAAGCCAUCGCAGCAUGCUCAACCCGAGAACCUCCCUAUACCAACAACUCUAAAAGUCGUCUAGAGGGGGUUGAAUAUGCGAAACCUGAAAUUUAUAAACUUUGAACACGCACUUCACCUAGGGUUAGGUUUAGAAAUAAAAAAUAGUUAAUUCAGAGUGCAGAAGAUAAUUCUUCUUGCUAUGAGUUGCUCAAUCCAUGCGGAUAACUUUGGGAGCAAACUCAAAACAAUGUGAGCAAGAGAACUUUUAGAGAGAGAGGAGAGGGGAGAAACAAAUCGAAUAGUGAAGAUCAACACAAGUGGACACGGUGAUUUGUUUCCCGAGAUUCGGUUCCAAAGAACCUACUCCCUGUUGAGGAGGCCACAAAGGCCGGGUCUAUUUCAACCCUUUUCCUCUCUCAAUCGGUCACCUAGACCGGUCGAGUGCUUCUUCUUAAUCACUUUGGUCACAAAGACCCCGCAAGGAUCACCACAUAAUUAGGUGUCUCUUGCUUGCUUUACAAAUCUCUUGGAAAGUUUAGAAGGUAAAGAAGAAAGCAACCAAGCAACAAGAGCAACAAAAGAAACACAAAUCACCCUCUCUCAAGUCACUAAACACUUUUGGUCACAUGACUUGAUUUUGGAACUUGGAGAGGAUUGAAGGCUUUGAAUGUGUCUUUAGAGUGUAUUCUUUGCUCUUGUAUUGAAUGAAGAGAGUGGGAUGCUUGGAUGGCUUGAAUGGUGGUGGUUGGGGGUAUUUAUAGCCCCAACCACUAUUCUAGUCGUUAGCUGAAUUCUCUGUUGAUGGGCACACCGGACAGUACGGUGGUGCACCGGACAAAGCACUAUUCAUUGUUCGGUGCGUGCCACGUCAGCCGAUCGUUGGGGUUUGGAGCUGUUGACCGUUGAAUACUUCUGUCCUUUUAGUGCACCGGACAGUCCGGUGCGACCUGUCGUCGCGGACUGUCUUCUAACUUCUGACGCUGCAGACUGCGGGCGCCGUCCCACAGUCGACCGUUGGUGGAGUCGACCAUUGCUCUGAGGGCUCACCGGACAGUCUGGUGGCACACCGGACAGUCCAAUGAUUUUUAGCGGACGAGCUCCGAGAAACCCCGAGAGCGGCCAGAUCGCGGAGUGCUCCAGCUAGGGCACCGGACAGUCCGGUGCACCACUGACUGCAGCAAGUCGGUUUGCUCCAAAUUUGUAGAAUUGCCCCAAAGUUAUUUUCUUUGUAUGUGUAUGUGAACUUUAUGCACCUAAGAAAAAUAACAACUAGGCAAACUAGUUAGUCCAUAAGGUUUGUGAUGGACGUCAAACACCAAAAUCGUUUAUAGAAAAUAUUUAGUUAAUUUCUCUUUCAAACUCCCCUAACUCCCGUGCCCCUUUCGGGUAAGGUAGACCUCCACUAUCUUUCCUAAUUAAUCAGCUAAGGGCGUCCCAUUCCACCCUUGUGGUAACACGGUUAUCUCAAGUUAAGCUUCAUGUUCCAAUUAACACAAUAGUCUUAUCAUGAACAGUAAAGAAUUCAAUAACAGUAAAGACAUGAUCAUGAAUGAUAUAUAUCUUAACACCCAAAACCACAUAGAGCAAUAACAGAUACUAUCCAAAAGUUCAGUGGUAAACAAGUCAUAAAGAUGACCAAACUAGAGUGACCUAUUGGGCCCCAUCAAAAUUAAACCUACACAUGCCAAAGUGAUUAUAAAGAAAAUUAUUGAGUGAAGGAAAUUGGUCAAGGGCACAACUUUCCUUCAAUGAGCUCCUACUCAGAGUUUUCCACCUCUGAGUACCAGGGUCCUCGGUCACUUGCUCGUCUAUUCGCAGCAAUACAAACAAACAUGGUAUAGGAGAAAUUAACAUCACACCAAACAGAAGAACAUAAUGCAUGAUAAUGAUCUAUGCAUCGCAUCGAGAUCCUAGGUUUAAGAAUCAGUAAUUCAGAGUUACGGUUAUAAAGUUAUGAUUUUCUAAAGGUUUUGGUGUUUAAUAUAAAACAAAUGAAGUACAUGAUUUUAACCAUAGGUUUCAUAGUAAUAUAAGGUUACUAGAUGAUAAACAAUAUUAACAUGAGUUUAAUGCACUUGGAAUGGAUCAAUUUGGAGUUAAAAUGGAUUAAUUAUGAAUUUUCAAUAUUCUAGAAUUAUUUCUAUAUUAGAAAUUAUUUUCUGUAUUAAUUUUGAAUACCUCUUAUGACUUGGACUGCGGACAUAAAUACCAAUGGGUUUCAGGGUUCAAAUCAUAAAAACACAAGACCUAUCUAUGGUGUUUCUACUCUAGGCGUGGACUGCAGGUUAAUAACUAAAUUAGGUAGGGACUCUUCUGUAAAACAAGCAACGCGAAGGGGUAUGCAUGAAUCACAGCCGUCCGAUCUAACUCCUGCGCACCAGAUUAGAACGGUACUGAUUAUGAGCCUGCAUUCUCUCUUAAUCGUCAGAUCCGAGAUCCAUGAUCCAUGGCUCACGAUCUACUGUCUCUCUCUCUCAGUCGUGCGAUCGUCGCCCUAGGAUAACCAUCCAACGGUCGCCGAUCAUCUUCUUCCCAUGCCAGCUCCUUCCCAGCCGGCGGCGCUCGUUAGCCGUGCCGGCGCCAUUACCAAUCGGCAUAAGCCCGUGCUCCAGCGACCACCACAGUCUAAAUACCGAUGCUAUCGUCUGCGAAGCUCGUAGCGGCCAUGAUAGGGGGGAGACUUACCAACGCAGAGGCAAGGACGAGGCCGGCGAAGACGACUUGAAGGUUCACCACGCGACGAGAGCUCCAUGAAGGAUCGCCACCGAGACCCCCCCCCCCCCCCAAUACGUCCGUCGUCGCUCCAAAUGGUUUCGUAGCACCCGAAGACUUCCCCCAACGGCCUCCCGAACCAAGCACAAUGCAGGUGCGGUGACGGCGGUGACCGCGGGCUCUCUCUCUCUCUCCUCUCGGUCCCUCAACACUAUGGUGGCGAUUUCUACCGCGUGGGCUUGGAAGUAGUCACAAAUGGAGGGGGAAGAACGAAGCGCACAAAUGAGGAGCUAG
Molecule: long non-coding RNA, 4879 nt
Filed under: Zea mays
Lineage: Eukaryota; Viridiplantae; Streptophyta; Magnoliopsida; Poales; Poaceae
Description: long non-coding RNA (ZMAY_LNC004888)
Source: RNAcentral